AGAGGUAAAGCUCAGUGGUAGAGCACUUGCCUAGCAUGCAAGACCUGGGUUCCAUCCCCAGUACCCUA
This 68-nucleotide transfer RNA is filed under the name Ictidomys tridecemlineatus (thirteen-lined ground squirrel). RNAcentral describes it as "Spermophilus tridecemlineatus (thirteen-lined ground squirrel) tRNA". It matches the Rfam family "tRNA". From Rfam's summary of the family: Transfer RNA (tRNA) molecules are approximately 80 nucleotides in length. Their secondary structure includes four short double-helical elements and three loops (D, anti-codon, and T loops). Further hydrogen bonds mediate the characteristic L-shaped molecular structure. tRNAs have two regions of fundamental functional importance: the anti-codon, which is responsible for specific mRNA codon recognition, and the 3' end, to which the tRNAs corresponding amino acid is attached (by aminoacyl-tRNA synthetases). tRNAs cope with the degeneracy of the genetic code in two manners: having more than one tRNA (with a specific anti-codon) for a particular amino acid; and 'wobble' base-pairing, i.e. permitting non-standard base-pairing at the 3rd anti-codon position. The record is from Rfam by way of RNAcentral. Lineage: Eukaryota; Metazoa; Chordata; Mammalia; Rodentia; Sciuridae.